UAGUUUAGUUGGUAGAGAGUAAGGCUCUUAACCUUCUGGUCAUGGGUUCGAGCCCCAU
Molecule: transfer RNA, 58 nt
Filed under: Zea mays
Lineage: Eukaryota; Viridiplantae; Streptophyta; Magnoliopsida; Poales; Poaceae
Rfam family: tRNA
About the family: Transfer RNA (tRNA) molecules are approximately 80 nucleotides in length. Their secondary structure includes four short double-helical elements and three loops (D, anti-codon, and T loops). Further hydrogen bonds mediate the characteristic L-shaped molecular structure. tRNAs have two regions of fundamental functional importance: the anti-codon, which is responsible for specific mRNA codon recognition, and the 3' end, to which the tRNAs corresponding amino acid is attached (by aminoacyl-tRNA synthetases). tRNAs cope with the degeneracy of the genetic code in two manners: having more than one tRNA (with a specific anti-codon) for a particular amino acid; and 'wobble' base-pairing, i.e. permitting non-standard base-pairing at the 3rd anti-codon position.
Source: Rfam by way of RNAcentral